Molecule: transfer RNA, 67 nt
Filed under: Anadara cornea
Lineage: Eukaryota; Metazoa; Mollusca; Bivalvia; Arcoida; Arcidae
Description: tRNA-Gln
Source: RNAcentral
UAUGGUGAAGUAUUGUAUUAGUACGUAGGUUUUUGGUUCCUAAUGAGCGCAUAAAGCGUCACCGUAA